GUCUACGGCCACACCACCCUGAACACGCCCGAUUUCGUCAGAUCUCGGAAGCUAAGCAGGGUCGGUCCUGCUCAGUACUUGGAUGGGAGACCAGAUACCCACUGCUAACUACAGAUGUUUCAAACA
This is a non-coding RNA of Erinaceus europaeus (western European hedgehog), 126 nucleotides long. The record is from Rfam. NCBI's taxonomy places the organism in Eukaryota, Metazoa, Chordata, Mammalia, Eulipotyphla, Erinaceidae.